RNAcentral lists this ribosomal RNA (1077 nucleotides) under Triticum aestivum (bread wheat). RNAcentral describes it as "partial small subunit ribosomal RNA". The record is from RNAcentral. Lineage: Eukaryota; Viridiplantae; Streptophyta; Magnoliopsida; Poales; Poaceae.
AUGGGCAGCCGGUUUGUGAAUCUGUUGGCCAGGAGCUGCAACGGCGGCCCCAGACACUUCAGCCUGCACCGUAUGAAUCCCGCAAAUUUGUUUCACCCAACCAGGUCAGCGGUUCCAGCGGUUCAACCGUUAGCAGAUGCUCCUCUGCCCCCCCCUGCUCUAUCCUUCGGCUGGCCCGGCAAGAAGGGCGAACUCGCGUGGAUGAAUUUCAUGGCUUUCGGCCGCACCGGGAACAAUUUUUUGGCCGUGGACCAGAUAGGCAGGACCUUCUUUUACGACACUGACUCGCGUUCGCUCCGCACUGGAAUGCCCAUGAUGUGCAAGCCCAUCAUGGACCCGAUCUCCAUUGCCGUUGGUGACAGCCUCUACGUCAUGAGCGGUAACCCUGGCCCGUCGCCUGGGAAGCAUUGCUUCCAGGCUCUCAUCCACGGCCGCCUUCCUGCAAGCGACACCAAUGAUUGGUCCUGGUAUUCGCUUCAGCCGCCACCUCCCUUCGUGAACGACAUUCCCCGCUUCCAUGAAGAUGAGGUCAAAUCCAGUUGCGGUGACGUUCCAGCCCCCUAUGAAAUCGGUGCCUACACUGUGGUUGGCGAAUCACAGAUCUGGGUAUCCACAGCAGGUGCCGGCACAUACUCGUAUGACACUGUGAGUGGUGCAUGGAGCAAGGUAGGCAACUGGUCACUGCCGUUCAGAGGCCGUGCCGAGUACAUCCCUGAGCACAACCUCUGGUUUGGCUUCACACCCAACAAUUUGCAGCUGUGCACAUCGGACCUCACUGCCUCAUCUGAGGUGAGGCCGCCCGUUCUGCAGAAUAUGUGGACAGACGUGGUCAGGCCAAAAAAUUGGACCCUGAGAGAUGCCAGCCUCGUGCCGCUGGGCUCUGGCAAAGUCUGCAUUGCCAGGUUCUUCGUAACUCAUUCAGACAACUUUGAGGAUAUGUCAGCCUAUAAGAAAAGAGAGAAUUUUGCUGUUCUCGAGGGUGUGGAAGUGUUGAAGGCUGGGUGGGCUCACCUCCGGAUGGUUAAGCACAAGUCGGAGCGUUACGUCUUCGGCCGUGACCUUGUCAUACCGCUCUGA